This is a small nucleolar RNA of Arvicanthis niloticus (Nile rat), 129 nucleotides long. RefSeq annotates it as small nucleolar RNA SNORA17. The record is from RefSeq and is a predicted model, not a curated record. NCBI's taxonomy places the organism in Eukaryota, Metazoa, Chordata, Mammalia, Rodentia, Muridae.
UCUGCCCUGAGAGGCAUCAGGUGUGGCUGCUGCUGUGUCACGUGUGCAGCAGUAGAUGGCAGAGAAGAGGCUUUGUUUGCCCUCAGUGAUCUGAUCUAUAAACAUCUGAAUGAUUUGUGGCCUACCUUU